GGCGGCCGGCGGGCAGCCCGCGCCUCGCCCCGGCACCCCCUCAGCUCCCCGCGGGGCUGGGGCAGGGGCGGGCCGGCCUCCCGGCCCCGGCAGCGGCGGUGUGUGCGGCCAUGGCGGCGGGGACAUCGGCGUGUGGGGGAAAGCGUGUGGAUGGGUACCCAAACAGUCCUGCAGACUGGAAAGUGCCAACUCCGUUGGGACACAGGCAGUGCUGGUUCUGCACCAUAGUGGUCACCCGUGGAAGGAGGUGGAGAGCGUUGUCUCCUAGUCAUCGAGGAGGCUGCAGAUGGACCACAGCCCUGCACCGCCACACUGUCCAACAAAUUUGUCUACAACAAAUUGUGCCAUCAUAUGGCUGCUCACUUCCAGGAAUCAGAGUGGCUGAAGACUAGAGUCCUGCUAUCUGCAGGGCAUCCUCUAGGAGAAAGGAGGGCUGAAGAGAUGAAAGUCUCCAUUGGCAAAAUGCCAAUAUUACAGGAAGCAAACCAGAGGACCGGAGGCUCAGGAGCUGAUAAGAAUGGAG
This 523-nucleotide long non-coding RNA is filed under the name Calidris pugnax (ruff). Its description in RNAcentral is "lncRNA (ENSCPUG00000004628.1)". Lineage: Eukaryota; Metazoa; Chordata; Aves; Charadriiformes; Scolopacidae. The record is from RNAcentral.